RNAcentral lists this ribosomal RNA (510 nucleotides) under Klebsiella pneumoniae. RNAcentral's name for it is "bacterial SSU rRNA". It matches the Rfam family "Bacterial small subunit ribosomal RNA", at positions 1 to 502 of the family's 1533-position model. Lineage: Bacteria; Pseudomonadati; Pseudomonadota; Gammaproteobacteria; Enterobacterales; Enterobacteriaceae. The record is from RNAcentral.
AAAUUGAAGAGUUUGAUCAUGGCUCAGAUUGAACGCUGGCGGCAGGCCUAACACAUGCAAGUCGAGCGGUAGCACAGAGAGCUUGCUCUCGGGUGACGAGCGGCGGACGGGUGAGUAAUGUCUGGGAAACUGCCUGAUGGAGGGGGAUAACUACUGGAAACGGUAGCUAAUACCGCAUAAUGUCGCAAGACCAAAGUGGGGGACCUUCGGGCCUCAUGCCAUCAGAUGUGCCCAGAUGGGAUUAGCUAGUAGGUGGGGUAACGGCUCACCUAGGCGACGAUCCCUAGCUGGUCUGAGAGGAUGACCAGCCACACUGGAACUGAGACACGGUCCAGACUCCUACGGGAGGCAGCAGUGGGGAAUAUUGCACAAUGGGCGCAAGCCUGAUGCAGCCAUGCCGCGUGUGUGAAGAAGGCCUUCGGGUUGUAAAGCACUUUCAGCGGGGAGGAAGGCGGUGAGGUUAAUAACCUCAUCGAUUGACGUUACCCGCAGAAGAAGCACCGGCUAACU